AUUGAACGUUGGCGGCAGGCUUAACACAUGCAAGUCGAGCGGAGUGAUGGUGCUUGCACUAUCACUUAGCGGCGGACGGGUGGGUAAUGCUUAGGAAUCUGCCUAUUAGUGGGGGACAACAUCUCGAAAGGGAUGCUAAUACCGCAUACGUCCUACGGGAGAAAGCAGGGGAUCACUUGUGACCUUGCGCUAAUAGAUGAGCCUAAGUCGGAUUAGCUAGUUGGUGGGGUAAGGGCCUACCAAGGCGACGAUCUGUAGCGGGUCUGAGAGGAUGAUCCGACACACUGGGACUGAGACACGGCCCAGACUCCUACGGGAGGCAGCAGUGGGGAAUAUUGGACAAUGGGGGGAACCCUGAUCCAGCCAUGCCGCGUGUGUGAAGAAGGCCUUAUGGUUGUAAAGCACUUUAAGCGAGGAGGAGGCUACUGAGACUAAUACUCUUGGAUAGUGGACGUUACUCGCAGAAUAAGCACCGGCUAACUCUGUGCCAGCCGCCGCCGUAA
RNAcentral lists this ribosomal RNA (503 nucleotides) under uncultured bacterium. RNAcentral describes it as "partial 16S ribosomal RNA". It matches the Rfam family "Bacterial small subunit ribosomal RNA", at positions 30 to 523 of the family's 1533-position model. The record is from RNAcentral.